UGCAUUGUGCAUUUUUUCAUUGAUUUAGGCAUUUGUUCAUUUACUUAGACAACAGCUGUUACCAAGCACUUCUUGACUCCCUGCUUUGAGCCAGGAUCUCUGCUAGUCACUGGUAAAGAAGAAUAAGAUUCCCUGUCUUCUUGGGAUUCAUCUUGAAGUGAGGGGCAAUGGAUUGUGAGAUAAUACUCAUCAAAUAUUCAAAUGCGUUCUUACAUUUCCCAGCCUCCAUUGCAGUUAAGUUGGGGCUUUGUAUGUGACAGGUUUUCUUCAGUGUACUGUGACCAGAAGAGAUCCAUGCCACUUUUGGACUUUGGCAGCUGUGAUCUGUUGUGACUCCUCCAACUCUCUCUACCCCUUCAGUGAUAACCUUGGAGGCCACAUAUGCUAGAUGACACAGCUAUAAGAUGGGCAAGGCUACUAUGCUGCAUCAGACCUGGCCUGACUGAGAUAAAUUUUAUACUUUUAUUGUGGUAAAAUAUGCAUAACAUAAAAUUUUCCAUUUUAAACAUUUUUAAGUACACAAUUCAGUGGCAUUAAGUACAUACACAAAGUGGGUAUCUUUGUUUGUAACAGAUAACAGUUCAUUUGAAACUUUGUGCUUAUCCUCUUGUCCAACAACUAUUUAGUAUCCAUAGAAAAUUACUCUUGUAAGCUAUUAUCAUAUCAUUUUAGUGUAGUCAACUUAGGAGGGUCUUAUUAAUAUUUCCUUUUACAAAUGAAAUUGGGGCAGAUAGAGGUUAAAUUAUUCCCCAAUUUACAUAGUUUACCUGAUGGAGCUGGCUGUUUAACAUAUCUGACUCUACACUUUGAAGCAUGCUUUAUACCAGUGGUUGGCAUCUCAUCGCCUGUGGGCAAAUCUGCCUUUUGUUUUUUUAAAUAAAAUUUUAAUAGGAUACAACCAUGCCCAUUCAUUUAUGUAUUGUCUUUGGCUGCUUUCACACUUUUUUAAAAAAAUAUAUUUAAAUAUAGC
RNAcentral lists this long non-coding RNA (970 nucleotides) under Marmota monax (woodchuck). The record is from RNAcentral. Lineage: Eukaryota; Metazoa; Chordata; Mammalia; Rodentia; Sciuridae.